GGGGGCCUACACAUGCAAGUCGAGCGGAUGAGAGGAGCUUGCUCCUUGAUUUAGCGGCGGACGGGUGAGUAAUGCCUAGGAAUCUGCCUGGUAGUGGGGGAUAACGUUCCGAAAGGAACGCUAAUACCGCAUACGUCCUACGGGAGAAAGCAGGGGACCUUCGGGCCUUGCGCUAUCAGAUGAGCCUAGGUCGGAUUAGCUAGUUGGUGAGGUAAUGGCUCACCAAGGCGACGAUCCGUAACUGGUCUGAGAGGAUGAUCAGUCACACUGGAACUGAGACACGGUCCAGACUCCUACGGGAGGCAGCAGUGGGGAAUAUUGGACAAUGGGCGAAAGCCUGAUCCAGCCAUGCCGCGUGUGUGAAGAAGGUCUUCGGAUUGUAAAGCACUUUAAGUUGGGAGGAAGGGCAUUAACCUAAUACGUUAGUGUUUUGACGUUACCGACAGAAUAAGCACCGGCUAACUUCGUGCCAGCAGCCGCGGUAAUACGAAGGGUGCAAGCGUUAAUCGGAAUUACUGGGCGUAAAGCGCGCGUAGGUGGUUCGUUAAGUUGGAUGUGAAAGCCCCGGGCUCAACCUGGGAACUGCAUCCAAAACUGGCGAGCUAGAGUACGGUAGAGGGUGGUGGAAUUUCCUGUGUAGCGGUGAAAUGCGUAGAUAUAGGAAGGAACACCAGUGGCGAAGGCGACCACCUGGACUGAUACUGACACUGAGGUGCGAAAGCGUGGGGAGCAAACAGGAUUAGAUACCCUGGUAGUCCACGCCGUAAACGAUGUCAACUAGCCGUUGGGUUCCUUGAGAACUUAGUGGCGCAGCUAACGCAUUAAGUUGACCGCCUGGGGAGUACGGCCGCAAGGUUAAAACUCAAAUGAAUUGACGGGGCCCGCACAAGCGUGCAGCAUGUGGUUUAAUUCGAAGCACGCGAAG
Molecule: ribosomal RNA, 925 nt
Filed under: uncultured prokaryote
Description: bacterial SSU rRNA
Rfam family: Bacterial small subunit ribosomal RNA
Source: RNAcentral